Long non-coding RNA from Syngnathus acus (greater pipefish), 348 nucleotides. RefSeq lists it as uncharacterized. The record is from RefSeq and is a predicted model, not a curated record. NCBI's taxonomy places the organism in Eukaryota, Metazoa, Chordata, Actinopteri, Syngnathiformes, Syngnathidae. The transcript is spliced from 2 exons.
CAGGAUGCCUCCUGCCUGCUGACAGUGGAGCUCCCACAACCAGCGUACUCCCGUCUGCUGGUACCUGACCACCGCAAUGCACAUGAAACCAGGAACUUUGAAGCCUUCAUCAAACUCUGCAUCGCUGUCAUCUGUCAGCUCCUCACCUCUUUCCCGCCUCUCCUCCCGUUCUCGAAGACGCUGUCGCUUCCACCUCCUAGUACAGAUAGGUGAAGCGGAAAACAAACGCAGGACUUUGUGAGUAAGGAUCUUGUCUGAACCCGAUAAUGAGGUGGCUGAGACAGAUUCAUAAUGUCUUUAAGAACUAAUAAAUGGACGGAAAGCCCGCAAAAGUUGCGUGGAAGGAAA